ACACGGACACUAAUAUUUCACUAGUGUGUCAUUGACGCUGCAGCAAGACUACAUUACCGUUUUGAAGUUAAAUAAAACAUAGAGAUAAAUCUCUGAGUUUAACAUGUUUUAUUUGGGAAGCAACAACUGCAGUUCGGGGGAUAGACACAGAACGGUGGCCUCUCGUAUGUCCAAAGAACAGAGAAGUUUGGAGGUUUUAUGAAGAGGAGAAAUGCUGUGUAUUGUUUUGAAAUAAAGUUCCUUGGCACUAGUAAGGUUUUGGGGAUGCUGGCGAACACUGAUUUGUGGGUGAUGGUGUUAGAUUUCAGCAGGUUGUUCCAGUGGCUGUUAGAUAAAACUGGUUUCAGGUUACACCUGGCAGUUCCAGCAGCCAGGUCUGCAGAGAAUCGUAUGCUUGAAGGAACGUCUUGUGCCUCAAGCGCUUUACCCGCAACCUCUGGACUCUGUUUUAGUUGAGUGUGACAAGAAAGACCCAAGGCGUAUGAAGCUUUGACCCUGUUUUGUAAACUCCCUUUGAUGCGGUCAGAGUUCAUUUGGGGAAACUUCUGGGAAUAGUCAACACGGCCGGUUGGAAACGGAGGUGGAAUUCAGUGGUUACAGCAGAAGCCUGCACUCUAUCGUCCAGUGAGAGCAGCCCAGGGAUGGGCACUCAUGAAGGAGAGUGAUGCUGCCCACAGGAAGCAGGCCAGUGCUGAGCAGAGAGAACCACAAGAAAAGCAGACAGGUCUGCCCGCGUUUGAGCUGGUAUCACUUGCCCAGCAGGCAGGCAUGGGGUGACACAUGACUGGGCGAGCCACUCGCUGGGUGGGGCAUUCACACAGGUCAGCUCAAACCAGAUGGAGCCUGGGACUGUGACCAAGGAGCGAGUGAAGGUCAAAGCCACACAUGGGGCUGAGGGGCCAGGUGGCCGCCUUAUGAGAUCGAAGGCGGGAAGCUUUGGAACAGGGCAAAAAGGGGAGCCCAGGGUGAGGGGAGAGGGCCGAGCAGCUCGGAUCUCUGAUGGUGAGCUGUGCAGAGAUGGGGAAGCGCCUCUUUUCCUCUUUCAUGUGGGUGUCAGGGGGGGUCCAGGCCUGAGGGAGCCAAGCUGGAGGGUGCAGGGUUUCGCGUCUGCCUCGGAACUGGAUGUUUGAAAGCAAAGGUGAACGGCCCAGCAGGCCCGCUGGGGCACUGGGAGAACUGGUUUUUGCCAUUUUAGGAAUUGUUUGGCUUUGGCUUUUUUUCUCACUAAGAAAUUGGAAUCUGAAAGAGCCUUUCAGCUUAUUGUUGAAAAUCCAUCAGGACCUGAAAAUUAGAGACCGGGCCUGAGCUUUCAGCACAUUUAAACUCACGGGAGCGAGGUGGAAAAGCCACAGGAAGUGGAUGCACUAAUUUAGAAAAUAGGGAGAGGGAAGACAGCGCCUGUCCCCUCCCUGAUUGACCACAGGUAACCCCUGGUCUCUCUGUCUACUGAGGCUGAGUGGCCUGUUCUGGGUCUGACUACCCUACCCUGGGGCCUGACUCUGCCCCGCCCCUCGCAACACUCAACAAACGCUUGUGGAAGGAGUGAACAAAUGACAAGUCACGAAACCUAAAUACAGUGUACUAUUUUAUGGUGUCUUAAACCAUCACGCAAUUCCACGGGUAUGCAGCACAAAGAAUUGAGAAGUAAUUCCGAUAAGAGCAGGGGAAUAGUAAUUGAAACUGACACCCAUGUGACACUUUACAGUUUACAAAGUGCAUGGGUCGCAAUUCCAGAGUCUUCAGCUUUGGAGGAGACUGAGGUGCGGGACAUGGAAAAGAAGGUCAUUCUCUUGGAGCCCCAACAAUGACCAGGAGAAAUUCAUUUGGCGGUAAAACCACACGAACCCUAUUACAUCACCAAGCCCUCACCGUUUCCAGCACCCAGGGUCUCUACAAAGAGGCAAGCUGGGACUGAAAUCUCUCCCGAGUGUGGAAGACGGACGGGAGCAGCAGCCGGACAGCACAGCUCAAGGCCGAGAGGCUCACUGGGUGACUCGGGCCGCUUUGGGGUGGCUGUGAGAAGCGAAGGGAGGCUGACUCGGGGUGUGGUGGGGAGUGAAGCCACCACCUUAUUGCCUAGGCCUUCCCUUGAUGCACUUGGAAAAUAAGUUGCUCUUUCUUCACCGGGUGGGGACAUUAAUUAAUGUUUGCAAAAGUCUUUAUGAUCCUUGUCAAAAGGUGUUCGGCCGGCUCUAAUUAUCCAGGUUUCAGCUGCCACCGCUUCCAUCUCAGCACAGCAUCUCUGCCCUGGAAGAUGUCAAACAAGAUUGCUGUUGUCAGGAUGUGCAUCCAGCUCAUGUGGAUUUCUAUCUGCAUCUCCAAAUACUGCCCAGAUUCCAAAGCCCUGCAAGGGGAUGGUAUCUUGUUUGGGGAGAUGAGACCUGUGCCCCGCCCAGCUCCACCCCGUAAGAAGGCAGCUGCCUGGGAGAUUAGAUGAGAUAAUGGAUGUGAACGCCAAGUGUUGCAGAGACGUAAGCGGCAUUAUCGUUACUGAAAUGUCCCAGCCAGAUCAUCCCCAGGAGGGAUUAAUGGCCCACCAGGACAGCUGAGAGAACCUGGCCUUGCAUCUGGGAGUCUGCUUGCCAAACAUGAUUGGGUUCUUAGAGAUGAAAGACACAGAGUGAGCUAUUUUCCAUAAACACACUGGCACAUGUGUUAAUUACUGCAAGGAGAAAACCAGCCCCCAUGUUUCACGUGGGAGGCCUGUGAGGCAGAAUCCAGGAAUGGAAAGAACUCGGGUUUAGAAGCCAAACAUUGCUGGAUUUAGUUCUGUCCUCAGCCACUUACUGAGUGAACGGGGCAAGCUACUUGCUUACUGGAGCUUCAGUUUUCCCGUCUGUUAAAUGGAAAUAAUACUGGCUUCAGUGUGUUGUGAGAAUUCCCUAUAGUAAUGACUGUGAAACAGCUGAAACCCUGCAGGCAGGUGGUAAAUGAUAGCUCUCGUGUUGCCCUUUAUGGAUAAGGAUGCAAGAAGUUUAGGAUGGUUGGCCAAUGCCACACUGCUGGUCAGCAGCAGAGCUAGGUCCGUCUCCCUGCCAAAGGCAGGCAUUUUGCUCAGAGGCCACCAAACCCAUACCCUUGGUGGCCAACAUGGCAGCGGCCGGAUCGGAGUCUCCCCCCAGUACUUUGUAAGCCCAUUGAGGGUAAGACUAUGCAUCAGAUCUCUUGGCAUCCUUGGUAUCCUUGGCAGGUCUCUUGGUAUCCUUGGCAUCCUCUCUCACAGUGCCGUAAAUGUUCCUUAAAUGGAUGAAAGCAUUCAGGAGCACCUAGAAUAGAUUGAGCAGAUAACCGCAUAACAGGUGUCCACUGUGUGCAUAUAACUUCAGCCUCUUCUGCGUUGUUGGGACAUGAAGUCCCUUCGCUUUGCAUGGAAAAUAGUCUAGGCACCCCCUGGCUGACUUGCCACGAUGCCUGUCCUCAGGACAGGAAGAAGGAUGGGCCCAAGGAGGAGAAUUGCGUCAGAGGUCAAGAAAUGAACUCCAGCAGAAGUAGCACAAACAGGGAACCCAUAAGGAAGCUUGUGAUGAACAAACAUAGGGCAGAUGAAGUGGAAUAUUGGAUGGAAACACACCUUGAAAAUGCACAGACCUGUGGCAAGGGAAGGGAUCACUGCUUAGAUCAAUAGCAGGGCCUUGGACCAUGGUUAGGGGGAUGCUUGUUAGUGCUUCCCUGGGCUGCAGGGAGCCACGGAAAACAGGCCAGGGCAGGAGACCGGCCAGUGACUCACACGGCGGAACACAGGUUUAGAGGAGCAAAAUCUGAAGGGCCCCUCUCCUUCUCCCCACCUGUUUUCUGUCACGUGCUCUGGACCUGAGCCCACAGUGGGGCAGCUCCCUCGGCCUCCAGUGGAAGGCGGAAGCACUUGACAAAAAGCCUCCAGUUAACCGGGGCAAGCAGCAGGGUGGGGCUCAGGCCUUCUGGCCAAGUCCUUGUCUCCCUCGAGUCUCCAGCUUUCUCCUGAGAGGCAAAGCCCUCGCCAGGCAGGCUUUAAUAAGCAGUAGUGCCCUGCACCCCUGCCCAAGUCCCCGGACCCCAUGCUGGCAGGCUACUGCAGCCCCUAUCUUGCCUGGCACAUGGCACAUGGGGUGUCUUGGCAUGUGGGGUGGUGCUGUAUGCCUGUAGUCACAGACUGGCACUCACUGCAAGAGCUUCCAAUGUGUGAGAGCUGAGGCUAGAGUUCCUUGCUGCCUGUGAAGAUGGUGCUGUGACCGGAGCAGGCCUCAUAAUGAGCCGGUGAUUUCAUCCCCUCCAGACAGAAGACAAAGUCUGUGCCUUCUGGGCAAAACAUUAGCUGACCCGUGACACUGCUCAGACCCCAGAGGCCUGGCUCCCGGCCUGCCGGGAGCAGUCACUCCAAACAGCUGCGGCUGUGAGGCCUUCAGAGAGUGGCUAAUUAGGGUCUCACCUGGCCAGCUCCAAUCUGCAACCACAAGCUCGAGGCCCAGCUGCCUCUCCCCAGUGCCUCUGGGGCUCCGCUGCCUCCCUCACAGAUGGCGAGUGACUUCCUUGAUCUGUAUAAACAAGAAUUCUGCCUUAUUCAAACAGCAAUGAUAGAUUGGAGGAUCUACUAUGUACAACACACUGUGCUUGCAUCCAAUGGUAGAGUUAGAAAAAAAAAUGUGAUGUCCUGUGAUGUUAAGAAGUGAAGAACCCCAUGGGGAGGUAGCAGAAAACAUCCAACAGUGAGUGGCAACAGGUGUGCUGGUCACCGAGGGCUUCUUGGGCAAGGUCAUUCAUGAACUGGGUCUUGCAGCACAGAUGUGCUGGGAGUGGAAGAGGACACAGUUAGAUGCCACUUUAUCCUCACUAUAGUGGCACAAAUGGAGAAGGCUGAUGAUGCUGUGUGCUGGGGAAGAGGUGGGUGUGUAGGUUGUCUACCUGUUGGCCGUGGGAGUGUAAAUGAGUCACCCACUCAGGAAAAUAGCUGAACAACCCCCAGGGGUACAUUCCUGUACACCACCACCCAGCAAUUCCACUCGUAGGUAUACACUUCAGAAAACUCUUACACAAAAAUAUUCACAGCAGGACUGUUCAAACGCCCACCAACAGAAGAAUGGAUAAACAGGUGUGUUCACACCAUGGAGUAUCAGACAGCGUCCAAAGAGAGGAAUUACGGCCACCCUAGCAAUAUGGACAAUGCUUAUCAACUUACUACUAAGUGAGAAAAGUAAGUCCCAAAAGAGUACAAACAGCAUGACACCCUCUCAAAGAAGGCAAAGAGAUGUCAAAUAUAAUAUACACAUUUUAGGACUCCAAGGAAUAGGUAAGAUGAGAGGACAGGAUAGGAAAAUAGGCCAGGAGCUGUGGCUCAUGCCUGGAAUCCCAGCACUUAGGUAGGCCGAGGCAGUUAGAUCACUUGAGCCCAGGAGUUCAAGACCACCCUGGACAAUAUAGCGAAACCUCGUCUCUACAAAAAAUACAAAAAUUAGCCAGGUGUGCUGGCAUGUGCCUGAAGUCCCAGCUACUUAGGAGGCUGAAGCGAGAGGAUUGCUUGAGCCUGGAAGGUCAAGGCUGCAGUGAGCUGUGAUCGUGCCACUGCACUCCAGCCUGGGUAAUAGAGAAAGAUCCUGUCUCAAAAAAAAAAGGAAAACACAGAAAGGAGGCACACAGGAUUCGGGGUGACAGCUAUCUUGGGAUAGCUCCCUGCAGCCCAGGGAAGCACUAGGGAGGGAAUGGGAUGGGGUAGGCCACACAGCUGAUGUCAGCUCUUGCUAAGGCCCAGCUUUCAGGCUGGGUGGUGGUUUCACAGGUGACUAUUCUGUUACUUUAAAAUGUGAUCUAUUAGCACAGCUAGGGACGUAGGACUAUGCCUGUAAUAGCAAAAGUAAUAAAAUGCAUCAAAGCCCAGGA
Molecule: long non-coding RNA, 5850 nt
Filed under: Homo sapiens (human)
Lineage: Eukaryota; Metazoa; Chordata; Mammalia; Primates; Hominidae
Description: uncharacterized LOC105373414, transcript variant 5 (LOC105373414)
Source: RNAcentral